Molecule: ribosomal RNA, 673 nt
Filed under: Meloidogyne arenaria
Lineage: Eukaryota; Metazoa; Nematoda; Chromadorea; Rhabditida; Meloidogynidae
Description: eukaryotic LSU rRNA
Rfam family: Eukaryotic large subunit ribosomal RNA
Source: RNAcentral
AGAGAGAGUUAAAGAGGACGUGAGACCGGUAAGGUGGAAACGGAUAAAGUCGGCGUAUCAUUCAAGUAUUCAGUUACAUUAUUUUUAUGUUGUGACCUCUGAGCUCCAGAUUGGGACAGAGGGAAUCAGCAUAAUUUUUUGUGGUGCAUUUACUUGAUUGGUGCUUGGGGAUGUUUGAGGCAGAUUUGUUUCCGUCGUUUUGAGGCCAGCUUGCUGGUACCCAAACGGUGUUAGCAUUUUUUGUCUUGGGCAUUUGAGUAUGGCUCACGUGUAUUUAUUGGACAGAUCUGAGUGUAAGUUACGGUCGCAUGCGACACGUGCUUUUCAAUUAGUUCGGUCCAGUUAAUGCUCUCGUACUCGUUCCCCAUGUAAAAGCCGGUCAUCUAUCCGACCCGUCUUGAAACACGGACCAAGGAGUUUAUCGUGUGCGCAAGUUUUUGGGUGUUAAAAACUUAAAAGCGAAAUGAAAGUAAAUGACUCUUUAGAGUCUGAUGUGCGAUCUUGUAAAAAAGUGUAGCAUGGCCCCAUUCUAACUGUUUACAGUAGGGUGGCGGAAGAGCGUACGCGGUGAGACCCGAAAGAUGGUGAACUAUUCCUGAGCAGGACGAAGCCAGAGGAAACUCUGGUGGAAGUCCGAAGCGGUUCUGACGUGCAAAUCGAUCGUCUGACUUGG